AUUGAACGCUGGCGGCAGGCCUAACACAUGCAUGUCGGGCGGUAGCACAGAGAGCUUGCUCUCGGGUGACGAGCGGCGGACGGGUGAGUAAUGUCUGGGAAACUGCCUGAUGGAGGGGGAUAACUACUGGAAACGGUAGCUAAUACCGCAUAACGUCGCAAGACCAAAGAGGGGGACCUUCGGGCCUCUUGCCAUCAGAUGUGCCCAGAUGGGAUUAGCUAGUAGGUGGGGUAAUGGCUCACCUAGGCGACGAUCCCUAGCUGGUCUGAGAGGAUGACCAGCCACACUGGAACUGAGACACGGUCCAGACUCCUACGGGAGGCAGCAGUGGGGAAUAUUGCACAAUGGGCGCAAGCCUGAUGCAGCCAUGCCGCGUGUAUGAAGAAGGCCUUCGGGUUGUAAAGUACUUUCAGCGAGGAGGAAGGCAUUGUGGUUAAUAACCACAGUGAUUGACGUUACUCGCAGAAGAAGCACCGGCUAACUCCGUGCCAGCCGCCGCAGUAA
RNAcentral lists this ribosomal RNA (504 nucleotides) under uncultured bacterium. Its description in RNAcentral is "partial 16S ribosomal RNA". It matches the Rfam family "Bacterial small subunit ribosomal RNA", at positions 30 to 523 of the family's 1533-position model. The record is from RNAcentral.